Molecule: small nucleolar RNA, 47 nt
Filed under: Suricata suricatta (meerkat)
Lineage: Eukaryota; Metazoa; Chordata; Mammalia; Carnivora; Herpestidae
Description: Small nucleolar RNA SNORD42 (ENSSSUG00005018678.1)
Rfam family: Small nucleolar RNA SNORD42
About the family: snoRNA U42 is found in intron 3 of the ribosomal protein L23a (RPL23a) gene in humans and is also present in mice. U42 is a member of the C/D class of snoRNA which contain C (UGAUGA) and D (CUGA) box motifs. Most of the members of the box C/D family function in directing site-specific 2'-O-methylation of substrate RNAs.
Source: Rfam by way of RNAcentral
AAAUUUUAACCUCCUGAGACUGAUGAUGUCUUCAAAGAAACCACUGA